UCAGGCCUAACACAUGCAAGUCGAGCGAUGAAGCACCUUCGGGUGUGGAUUAGCGGCGAACGGGUGAGGAACACGUGAGGAAUCUGCCUUCCACUCUGGGAUAACUCCGGGAAACCGGGGCUAAUACCGGAUACUUUCAACUGGCGGCAUCGCCGGUUGAAGAAAGUUUUUCGGUGGAAGAUGACCUCGCGGCCUAUCAGCUUGUUGGUGAGGUAAUGGCUCACCAAGGCGACGACGGGUAGCCGGCCUGAGAGGGCGACCGGCCACACUGGGACUGAGACACGGCCCAGACUCCUACGGGAGGCAGCAGUGGGGAAUAUUGGGCAAUGGAGGAAACUCUGACCCAGCGACGCCGCGUGAGGGAUGAAGGACGUCGGGUUGUAAACCUCUUUCAGCAGGGAAUAAGCGAAAGGAA
This 415-nucleotide ribosomal RNA is filed under the name uncultured bacterium. Its description in RNAcentral is "bacterial SSU rRNA". It matches the Rfam family "Bacterial small subunit ribosomal RNA", at positions 42 to 459 of the family's 1533-position model. The record is from RNAcentral.